This is a small nuclear RNA of Ahaetulla prasina, 104 nucleotides long. Lineage: Eukaryota; Metazoa; Chordata; Lepidosauria; Squamata; Colubridae. The record is from RefSeq and is a predicted model, not a curated record.
GUGCUCGCUUCGGCAGCACAUAUACUAAAAUUGGAACGAUACAGAGAAGAUUAGCAUGGCCCCGCAGAGUUGUCAAGUGAAUCUCACUUACCCGUCGAUUUUGU